Vidua chalybeata is the source of this 344-nucleotide long non-coding RNA. RefSeq lists it as uncharacterized. The record is from RefSeq and is a predicted model, not a curated record. Lineage: Eukaryota; Metazoa; Chordata; Aves; Passeriformes; Viduidae. The transcript is spliced from 4 exons.
CUUCAGAUGUGCAGCAUCCUGAGCUGUCCUGCUUGGCCUGUCCUGCUGCCUGUGGGAUGACUUUCCCUUCAAGUUAGAGAUGAAGAUUGAGUUUGACACAAUUCCAAUAUCUAGAAGAUGCAAAGCAUAAUAGAAAAUGGUUUCAGGAGUUUUGGCAACUGUUCUGUGCUGAUCUUUGUGCUCCAGACAAGCCAAUGGCAAGUCUCAAAAUGGGUUUUGCUCCUAUGGCUGGAAUAAAUGGACUAUUUAUUCCUAGUUCCAUUUACAAACAUCUAUCAGAAUGAGUGACACUGAAGAAAGGUAAAACCUCUGCAAGAAGCAGUUAGAUAAGCAGAAAAUUUAUA